Molecule: ribosomal RNA, 498 nt
Filed under: uncultured bacterium
Lineage: Bacteria
Description: partial 16S ribosomal RNA
Rfam family: Bacterial small subunit ribosomal RNA
Source: RNAcentral
AUUGAACGCUGGCGGCAUGCUUUACACAUGCAAGUCGAACGGUAACAGGCCGCAAGGUGCUGACGAGUGGCGAACGGGUGAGUAAUGCAUCGGAACGUGCCCAGUCGUGGGGGAUAACGCAGCGAAAGCUGUGCUAAUACCGCAUACGAUCUAUGGAUGAAAGCGGGGGACCGUACGGCCUCGCGCGCUUGGAGCGGCCGAUGUCAGAUUAGGUAGUUGGUGGGGUAAAGGCUCACCAAGCCAACGAUCUGUAGCUGGUCUGAGAGGACCACCAGCCACACUGGGACUGAGACACGGCCCAGACUCCUACGGGAGGCAGCAGUGGGGAAUUUUGGACAAUGGGCGCAAGCCUGAUCUAGCAAUGCCGCGUGCAGGAAGAAGGCCUUCGGGUUGUAAACUGCUUUUGUACGGAACGAAAAGGUUUGGGUUAAUACCCUGGGCCGAUGACGGUACCGUAAGAAUAAGCACCGGCUAACUACGUGCCAGCAGCCGCCGUAA